This 783-nucleotide ribosomal RNA is filed under the name Salmonella enterica subsp. enterica serovar Agona str. 392869-1. RNAcentral describes it as "bacterial SSU rRNA". It matches the Rfam family "Bacterial small subunit ribosomal RNA", at positions 762 to 1533 of the family's 1533-position model. The record is from RNAcentral. Lineage: Bacteria; Pseudomonadati; Pseudomonadota; Gammaproteobacteria; Enterobacterales; Enterobacteriaceae.
UGGGGAGCAAACAGGAUUAGAUACCCUGGUAGUCCACGCCGUAAACGAUGUCUACUUGGAGGUUGUGCCCUUGAGGCGUGGCUUCCGGAGCUAACGCGUUAAGUAGACCGCCUGGGGAGUACGGCCGCAAGGUUAAAACUCAAAUGAAUUGACGGGGGCCCGCACAAGCGGUGGAGCAUGUGGUUUAAUUCGAUGCAACGCGAAGAACCUUACCUGGUCUUGACAUCCACAGAACUUUCCAGAGAUGGACUGGUGCCUUCGGGAACUGUGAGACAGGUGCUGCAUGGCUGUCGUCAGCUCGUGUUGUGAAAUGUUGGGUUAAGUCCCGCAACGAGCGCAACCCUUAUCCUUUGUUGCCAGCGGUCCGGCCGGGAACUCAAAGGAGACUGCCAGUGAUAAACUGGAGGAAGGUGGGGAUGACGUCAAGUCAUCAUGGCCCUUACGACCAGGGCUACACACGUGCUACAAUGGCGCAUACAAAGAGAAGCGACCUCGCGAGAGCAAGCGGACCUCAUAAAGUGCGUCGUAGUCCGGAUUGGAGUCUGCAACUCGACUCCAUGAAGUCGGAAUCGCUAGUAAUCGUGGAUCAGAAUGCCACGGUGAAUACGUUCCCGGGCCUUGUACACACCGCCCGUCACACCAUGGGAGUGGGUUGCAAAAGAAGUAGGUAGCUUAACCUUCGGGAGGGCGCUUACCACUUUGUGAUUCAUGACUGGGGUGAAGUCGUAACAAGGUAACCGUAGGGGAACCUGCGGUUGGAUCACCUCCUUACCUUAAAGAAGC